AAUGCCCCACAUAGCAAACGGCCACGGAGAUGACAUCAAACUCAACGGGUUUGGAGGCACGUGCACCUUGUCAGCAUAAAUCUGGCAUUUAUGACAUUUCCGCACGAAGUUGAAACACUGAGCCUCCAUCGUCAUCCAAUAAUAUCCAGCCCUUAACAACUUUUUCACCAUUGCAUUCCCACUGGCAUGGGUACCAAAC
RNAcentral lists this long non-coding RNA (199 nucleotides) under Lathyrus oleraceus (garden pea). Its description in RNAcentral is "Pisum sativum (pea) long non-coding RNA (PSAT_LNC023506)". Lineage: Eukaryota; Viridiplantae; Streptophyta; Magnoliopsida; Fabales; Fabaceae. The record is from RNAcentral.